Molecule: ribosomal RNA, 292 nt
Filed under: uncultured bacterium
Lineage: Bacteria
Description: partial 16S ribosomal RNA
Rfam family: Bacterial small subunit ribosomal RNA
Source: RNAcentral
GUGUCAGCAGCCGCGGUAAUACGGAGGGUGCAAGCGUUGCUCGGAAUUAUUGGGCGUAAAGCGCACGCAGGCGGCGAGGUAAGUCAGUUGUGAAACUCCCAGGCUUAACUUGGGAACGGCAGCUGAUACUGCCUUGCUUGAGUACGGAAGAGGGGAGCGGAAUUCCCAGUGUAGAGGUGAAAUUCGUAGAUAUUGGGAGGAACACCGGUGGCGAAGGCGGCUCCCUGGUCCGAUACUGACGCUCAUGUGCGAAAGCGUGGGGAGCAAACAGGAUUAGAUACCCCGGUAGUCC